Long non-coding RNA from Cygnus olor (mute swan), 4040 nucleotides. RefSeq lists it as uncharacterized. The record is from RefSeq and is a predicted model, not a curated record. The transcript is spliced from 3 exons. Lineage: Eukaryota; Metazoa; Chordata; Aves; Anseriformes; Anatidae.
AGCAAAGACAAUUUAGUAUUGGUAUUAUUCAAAUGAAACAUUUGAUUUGUUAUUUAUUCUAGUUAUAGCAACUUGUACAACAUACUUUGUAUCUUAGAAAUCCCUCUUUUAAUGAGAUAUUUCGUGAGUGGUAUGUUUGUUUCAUGUUGUACUUUAUAUGAGGUAUACGUACAUGCACUCUUAGAUACUAUUAUAUUUAUAUAGUUACUUAUAUAAGUCAAGUUGCAUCCUUUUUAGGAUUGUUGCAGAUUCUUAAGGAACAAGAUUGGUGUGGGAAUUACCCUAAUCUAGAAACACCAAGUGAGGAAAUUAAAAUAAUGUGCUUCUACCAAGAUAGUAACGAGCAUUGUGUAUACAAAAGGACAGACAUGGGCUGUUGGGCUUUGCAGGGCAAAGCUCCUACUGAACCCCGUGGGCAUGGCCAGAAACUUUUCAUAGAGUACUAAUGGUUAUUGUUGACUUUUUGGUGUAACUUGGCCUGACUUUAUAGAGCAGCUUCUGUUCUGCAGGGGUUCCUACCAUGACUGGAAGCGGUUAAAUGCAGUGGGCAGAGCCUGCAGCUGAGUUCAGAGCUCAUGUCCUUGGGGUGCCUGGACUUCCUUCAGGUGCAAGCUCCCAGGUGAAGAGAAUGAACGCAGGUGCUCUCACAGAAACAGUUCCAAGAUUUGCACCAAAAUCACAGAGACAAAUUGCUAUACGCAGGUAGUGUCUUUUCUGGUGUUUUUGGAUCUGGCCAAUGAUGUACAUAUGCUGGCCUGGGUGGCAGCCAAGAAUCUUAGUUUGUAAGAUUUGGAUAAGAUAGUAAGUUUGUAAGGUUUCCCCAGGGAAAAGAGGAAAUGAGUUGUGUAGGUCUGUGCAACUCUUUGUUGCCAAAUGUUAAGGAUAUAAUACGCUGAACACGAGUUCAGAAAUAUACUAGGGUAAUUCAUGGUAUUUUAAUCCAUUGCUGUUUGUUUAAACAGGAUUGUCCAAAUGCUGCUUGCCAGUUAGGGAAGACUUCACAUCUGUGACUGGAGAAGGCUGUGAGGCUGUAACAGGAAAAGGACUUGCUGGGCUUACCUGCUCUUUACUAUUUCCCUCCAACCACAAUUACUGGCUGCUCCUGGGGAGCUGUUGAGCCAUGCAAGAAACCCUGUAUAUUAUCACAACAACAUCAGCUAGGCAGAAUUUGUCUGUGUAACAGCCUGCCGCAAGAUAAUGCAAAGCAAACCGUACAGGUAUUUUUAUCCUUUUAUCCUCUCUAAUGUAAUCCUGGAUGUUCAAAGAUCACGACGGGAUGUUUAAUCUCAUGUCUCUGGUAUUAUUUGCUAGCAUAGAUUAGGAGGAAAAUGCCUCUCUGGGAAGCUGCUCCAUUUCCAGGGUUGAUCUGCUGCCUCCUUUAUCUCAUUGUUAGGAAAACUCAGCUGAAAUCUGGCUGUCUUCCAACUUGCAAAGCAAGACUUUAUUUUGCAGUGUUCAUUUAACUUUUGCUGGGUUUUGCACUGAAAUCUGGCUGGCCACGGUAGUGCUUCAGGUUGUCCACAGGCAGUGCAGUUAAUGCCGGCAGCGAGGGAGCCGCCCGGACUGCCAGCCAGUGCCUGGAUGUAGUCAUGGAGGGAGUAAGCCUGAGCCUCGCUUGACCACCUCAGGAUUGCAUGCCCAGAACAAGGCGUGGGGGUCUUGGGUGCUUUUAGGAUAACUGCAAGAUUCUUAAUAUUCAGGAGUACCUGAUAAUCAAGAGUCUAAAGAGAGCAGCUGUGCCAUGUUAACGCUGUGGUGCUGUUUAACAAAGUAAGUACCUCUUUUUGCACCAUUGUUUUUUUUUUUUAACCUAAAAUGUGUGAAGAGCAGCGAGACUCAGCUGUUCCUGCCCAGCUCCCACAGAGGCUAAUUGGGAUUGCACUCUCAGUUGGUGUGAGCAGGUUUGGGAUAUCUCUUGUCUGGAAACAUGGGAAAAUAAAUGCAUUUACAGCAGCCUCUCCUGAAAUCCAGGAGGACUGGGUGCAACAUGCUGGCCCUGGCUGGUCUGUGCUGAUAACAGGGCAGCAGAGGGGGCAGCUCAGGUGACGGGGAAGGCAGGUUUUGCUCUUCUUGCACCGGGGGAAAUAGGGGCACGCUGAGGCUGCUGUCCCUAAGUGGCAGUUACAGAGCUGUGAAGGAGUGGAGACAACUGGGGCUUUCCAGGCAAGUCAAGGCCAUAUGGCUGACUUUAAUGUAUAUGCAGUUGGCAGCCCUGUUAAUCAAAAACCUGUGAAAGAUGAUCUGCGGAGGUGUUCUAGAGAAAUCCUGGCUUGAUAACCAAGAGCAGAGCUUUGUGAUUAGUCAGCUGUGGGAUAUUUACAUGUCCGUAUGAAUCAGAUUGUUAGUUAAAUAUUGGUUUAGCAGGGGAACUGUGUUCUCUUCCUGUUUGAACUCCAACUGCAAACACUGUUGCAGGUGGUAGGGACAGGCUUGUUGAGUUUUCUUUGGUUUUAAUUUACAGGUAGUUUAAUAUGAGGGGCAAGAUAUAUUAUUAUAACAUUUAAACAUCAAAUUAACAAAAGACUAUUUUUCAAACCAAAUCUGAUCCAUUGGCACCAAACCUAUCUUAAAUCUGACUGAGUUUCAAAGUGAUAAAAGUAUUGUGAGAGGGAGAUAGAUCCUGGCCCUAGGAAAUUGAGGGGGGACGUUUUUAACAUUACCUAAAACCAAUCUGCAGCGUUUAUUUUGGGACACAGGAGGCUCACAGUGAUCCUGUGCUCUGACUGGCCACGUUUUGCUCUGAUGAAGCACAGCAUUGGAUCUGGUGAUUGCUUGUCAGCUGCAGUUCCUCUCUGCAAAUCCCCCGUGUGUCAGUUUUCUUUUGCGCUUUGGUUUCUGCUGUGACCAUAUGGAUGUUUGUUUGACAGGAGUCUUUGACCCUCAGACAGUUGGGUGAGUCAUGGAAAGAGUGAAUUCGCCCGUAUAGAGUUUAAUCUGUCCUCCUCUGAUGGAUUUAAUUUCCCCUUGACAGGCUGUACUCAGUUACGUGCUGUCUGACCUGCCUAUUGGAUACCAAGCAGCAACCAGAGCACUGCGUAUGGAAAGAGUCAUCUCUGGAUGGUGGACGAACAUCAAUAUUAACGAGCUGUUACUCAUUUACACUGAAGUUGCCCAGGGACCCAUGCUCUUCAAGGAUCACAUUACAGUGACUCCCCUGCUCUUUAGGUGCAUACUAUUAAUGUGGAGCCCUGGUAUGCGAGUAGUUUAAAAUUAUUUCUUCCAUGUGCGCUACCAGCAUUACAGUGCAAACUUACAGAUAAUUGUAUUUGCAAUCAUUCUUCCUACUUAAUUCUUUGAAGUCUUUUCUGAUUUUGAUUAGGAAAAAUAACUUCUAUUAUUAACAAAUUUUGCUGUCUUUUUACUGAUCCUCCUUUUGAUAUAACUAGCAAAUACUUGAUUGAGCCUAGCCAUAAGCCUUUUGCCAUUAUGAAAGCUAAACACGUAUUUCCACUUCUUACUUUCUGUCCCCCUGCCUGUCUUUCACAUAAGAUAAUAUUUGCUCAUAACCUUCAUGAUUAUGAAGUCCACAAAAGAGGAGUUUCAUACCAAAUAAUUUUGCCAGUUGAAUUUCCAUCUUUAAAUAUAGUUUACACUAUUUAUGUGGCCUCAAAAUCUUUAACAGUUUUUUGUGCAAGAGUCUCAUAAUCUUAUGUGACUCAUACAUACAAAAUGUAUAAAUGAGCCAAAUGUGGUGAUUUGGUUCUCCGGGCCAAUGUAUGUGUGACCAGCACUUGGUAAGCACAUAAUAUACAGGUGUACAUGUGAGGUUGUUCAAUUAAUGAACCCUUAAUACCAUCACUGCAAAGGGCUUAAACUUGGUGUGUUUGUCUUCUGUGUACAACUAUGUUUCAACUAUUUAGGACAGGCUGACAGGAAUCCAGAAUUGUGCUAGUAUCAUUGGGUAUGUUCCAUAAAGCCUUCCAAAGGAAGUUGGAAGACAUCUUGUAAAGAAAGUAGGCAUUGCGUAUACCAAUCAGGGGAGCAGGUCACAAGCUGGAUGCAAAUUUCAGCUCUGUUUUCAAAAGUGGUGCCCGUUCGGU